CGACGUAGGUAAUCUACCUUAAAGUUGGGAAUAACCUGCCGAAAGGCGGGCUAAUACCCGAUAGAGCGACGGGAUCCGUAAUCGGAUCUUUCGGGAAAGGGAGCUUGUUAAGAGCCCUCGCUUUAGGAUGAGCCUGCGUCCCAUUAGGUAGUUGGUGAGGUAACGGCUCACCAAGCCUUUGAUGGGUAGCUGGUCUGAGAGGAUGAUCAGCCACACUGGAACUGAAACACGGUCCAG
Molecule: ribosomal RNA, 237 nt
Filed under: uncultured bacterium
Lineage: Bacteria
Description: partial 16S ribosomal RNA
Rfam family: Bacterial small subunit ribosomal RNA
Source: RNAcentral